UACGGGGGGGGCAAGCGUUGUUCGGAAUUACUGGGCGUAAAGGGCUCGUAGGUGGCCAACUAAGUCAGACGUGAAAUCCCUCGGCUUAACCGGGGAACUGCGUCUGAUACUGGAUGGCUUGAGUUUGGGAGAGGGACGCGGAAUUCCAGGUGUAGCGGUGAAAUUCGUAGAUAUCAAGCAGAACACCUGCGGCGAAGGCGGCCUUCUGGACGAUGACUGACGCUGAGACGCGAAAGCGUGGGGAGCAAACAGG
RNAcentral lists this ribosomal RNA (253 nucleotides) under uncultured bacterium. RNAcentral's name for it is "partial 16S ribosomal RNA". It matches the Rfam family "Bacterial small subunit ribosomal RNA", at positions 524 to 776 of the family's 1533-position model. The record is from RNAcentral.